RNAcentral lists this ribosomal RNA (468 nucleotides) under uncultured bacterium. RNAcentral's name for it is "partial 16S ribosomal RNA". It matches the Rfam family "Bacterial small subunit ribosomal RNA", at positions 28 to 507 of the family's 1533-position model. The record is from RNAcentral.
GACGAACGCUGGCGGCGUGCUUAACACAUGCAAGUCGAACGGAAAGGCCCUGCUUUUGUGGGGUGCUCGAGUGGCGAACGGGUGAGUAACACGUGAGUAACCUGCCCUUGACUUUGGGAUAACUUCAGGAAACUGGGGCUAAUACCGGAUAGGAGCUCCUGCUGCAUGGUGGGGGUUGGAAAGUUUCGGCGGUUGGGGAUGGACUCGCGGCUUAUCAGCUUGUUGGUGGGGUAGUGGCUUACCAAGGCUUUGACGGGUAGCCGGCCUGAGAGGGUGACCGGCCACAUUGGGCCUGGGAUACGGCCCAGACUCCUCCGGGAGGCAGCAGUGGGGAAUAUUGCCCAAUGGGCGGAAGCCUGAUGCAGCAACGCCGCGUGCGGGAUGACGGCCUUCGGGUUGUAACCCGCUUUCGCCUGUGACGAAGCGUGAGUGACGGUAAUGGGUAAAGAAGCACCGGCUAACUACGUG